UUUUUUUUUUUUUUCUUUUUUGGAAAACGGCAAUGCAAAAUUAUUAGAUAGUGUGGAGUUAUGUUUCACAUUUUCAAAUCAAAUAGUGUGUGACGUUGUAAUAAAAAAGUACUUUUUUAUCUCGACGACAUAUUUUUCAAGUUUCUCGAUUUUCUUCUCUUAUUUAAACUUUGUUUUUAAUUUCUCACUUGUACUUUGAUUUACCUAGGGAUAUUCUUGUUAUACAUGCUACGAAUUUAAGCUUACAAAUAAGCCUUAGUUGCUCUAGGUUUUAUGUAACAGAAAUAUUGAGAUUGAGAAAAUUUUGUUCUUUGUUUUGAAGGGUUUUUUAUUUCAGGUUUUCCUUUGAUUAUCUUCAUCUUUUGUACUCUCAUUUUAUUAUAGUGAAAUCUUCUUUUACCCGUGAUUUUUUUAUCAUCUUUUGAGGAGUUUUUCCAUAUAAAUUUUGCAUGUUCGAUCUUGUUGAUUUUACUUUAUUUACUUGUUCGUUGCAUACAAGGUUAUUUCCCUACAAAUAUAUUAUUGGUUGUAGAGUUUUUUAACUCCAUAAACGGGAUUAGAAAUGGCAAAAUUUUAAUCACUUGAUGGAUUUUGAAUCGGUUCAUUUUUGUGUUUGAGAUGUGGAUGCAAUAUGGGGCAGUUUUAAUAGUACAAAUGGAUGAAUUUUUUAACACAAAAGAUAAAUUUGCUCUUUGAUUAACGUAAAAUGAUUAAUUUAUUUAUUUUUUAAAUAUAAAAAGAUAAAAUGUAACCGUACUCCUAUUAAAUAAAUCUCUAUAGUACUUUUACCAUUGUCAUGCCUUUGCAAUAAACACAGACAGCUGUAAACAUCUAAUUUUUUACUAAGGCCUUUCAAUCUAGUUCUGGAGUGAUUGUUUUAAGGAAGUUAAAAGGCCCAAUUUGAGUCCAAAUCUAGUGUUGAACCAUUUGGGUCACUAUGUGUGGCUAAAUACUCAAAUUCUGUUGGGUUUGGGCUUAAAUCAUAAAAAACCCAAAAUUGCUUCUUCAUCUACAUUCAUUUCGUUAAGUUAGUUUGUUUAAUUUUUUAAUUAUUUAAUUUAAUGUUUGUAUACAAGUUUUAAUUCAAAUUUUUAGUUAAAAUAAAAUAAAUGUAAAUUCCUCACAACAAAUUCGCUUCUUAAUAUUCAAAAUUUUUUUAUCGAGCUGCAAUUAGACUUUUUACGGGUUGAAUCAUUCAUUUAAGCGUAAAAGUUCAUUCAAAAUUUAAGAGGGUGUCAACAAAAAUAUUAAACUCAAAAAUUAGAUUUGGGCAAAAAAGUUAAACCCAUUUACAAUAUGGGUUGAGCUCAACUCAAACAUUCAAAGCCUGAGUUAACUCGACUCAGCUAAUUUUCUAUGUUUAUAAUAUAUAAAAAUUAAAUCUAUUGUAAUAUAAUAUUAUGAUGUAAAAAAAUUUAAAAAUGCUUAAAAUACCUAUAUAUAAAAUUAUUAAAUAUUAAACCAAAACUAAUAUAAAUAUUUUCAAAAAAAAUAAAAAGAAAAUAAUAUAGAUAGGCCUAAAAUAGUCUUGGGUUAGCCAUUUACAAAUGUGAACAAACUUGGACAAAAUUUCAGGCCAAUAUUUUCGGCCGGGUUGCAAUUGGCCAAGCAUAAAGCUUAUCAAUAUCAUAUGUAAGCAUGAUCUGACACGUAAAUAUCUCUAGUUGCAACCAUAUCAACCAACUGUUUUGGAGCUGGUUGCUCCUCCCAAAUUAUUAAAUCGACUAUUUAAAUCAUUUAAAACUUUAUGAAAUUACUAGUAAAAUGAUAAAAUUACACUUUAACCCUUCAAAAAUUUAUCAUUCUAUCUCUAAUUCCCCUAAACCAAUUUUUUGGACUUCACUAUGCUACUGUGGGUAUGAUUCAAUUUUUUUUAUUAUGUAUUUGUAACUUUUUGCAAAAUUAUUAUCCAUAAUUUAUAUCAAUAAAACACGAAAUAUAAUAAUUGUAUUAAGCAAAACUAAAUUAGUUUUGUAAGUAUACAUUUUCAUACAUUAUAUUGUAAACUAUUUAUAGAUUUUGUUAAAAUACAACUUCAGAUAAUAAAAAAAAAACAUAAAUUUUCAGUUUUUAUAAAACAACAUACGCAUAUGAUAACAUCGUCACCUAGACCUCGAAACACGAACAAGGAACGACGCAAAAUUCAAUGGACCACAACCGUAAUGUCGGUUAAACGAUGAGUCCCUUGACAGAGUAUUCGAUGAUCCGAAAGAGAACGAAGAAGAAGACGAGCUCGAUACACACGGUGAACCCACGAAUUCCCCGUCGUCAUCCGAACUACACGUCUCGUAAUUUGAGUACUUAUCUGAUUGAUGAUCAUCAAUCUUCUUCUUGUUGUCAUUCUUUUUGCCGUGUUUCCAAAACUUGAACACUUUCAGUUUCGAACCCUUAUUUUCUUCUAUGACAUCAAUACGCGGGUUAGGUAAACCAAGGCUAAGUAAUGCCGGAGGUGGACUAAUAGGAGGGAGAACUUCUUCCUUCUGCGGUUCUUUCGGUGUCCCAGGUUNNNNNNNNNNNNNNNNNNNNNNNNNNNNNNNNNNNNNNNNNNNNNNNNNNNNNNNNNNNNNNNNNNNNNNNNNNNNNNNNNNNNNNNNNNNNNNNNNNNNNNNNNNNNNNNNNNNNNNNNNNNNNNNNNNNNNNNNNNNNNNNNNNNNNNNNNNNNNNNNNNNNNNNNNNNNNNNNNNNNNNNNNNNNNNNNNNNNNNNNNNNNNNNNNNNNNNNNNNNNNNNNNNNNNNNNNNNNNNNNNNNNNNNNNNNNNNNNNNNNNNNNNNNNNNNNNNNNNNNNNNNNNNNNNNNNNNNNNNNNNNNNNNNNNNNNNNNNNNNNNNNNNNNNNNNNNNNNNNNNNNNNNNNNNNNNNNNNNNNNNNNNNNNNNNNNNNNNNNNNNNNNNNNNNNNNNNNNNNNNNNNNNNNNNNNNNNNNNNNNNNNNNNNNNNNNNNNNNNNNNNNNNNNNNNNNNNNNNNNNNNNNNNNNNNNNNNNNNNNNNNNNNNNNNNNNNNNNNNNNAAGUAAUCAACUAAGGUACCAAUUUUGGGCGUAUCGAGGGUGCUAAUCCUUCCUCGUGCGUAACGGACUCCCGAACCCGUUUUUCUGAAUUUCGUGGACCAAACCUGUUGUUUUAAUAAAAUCAAACCGUUUAUUAAAAACAACCACUUUUCAAGGUGAUCCAAUCACACCUCAUAAAAAAGGAUUGGUGGCGACUCCCGUUUCAUUUUUCAAAACCCAAGUCGACCCCGUUUUUCAUCAAAAAAUGGUGUCAACAUUUAGGAAUAUAGUCCUUAACUUUUUAGAUUUAAAAAUUUAGGUCCAAUUGUCAUCAUGAUUAAAAUUCUUCUCUUAAAUUAUUUAAUGUGAUAUUUUGAAUUUUAAAGAAAAUUUACUUGAUAGUCAUAUAAUAAUAAAUAUAACGUUGAAAAUAUUAAUUAAGAUUUUAUCCUAAAAACACUCAUUCAAAUUCGUCGUCGUGAUAAAAAAUAUUCUAUUCAAAUAGUUUCUUCGUGAAAUUUUUAUAUCAUAAUUUUAAUUGAAAUAAUUAACAAUAGACUAAUUAAUGACACUAUAAAAGUAGUGGACUGAAUUAAUUUGAAAAUUAAAGUAUAUAAAUUAAAGUUCAAGUUUUAACAUAAUCUAGGGGUCAAAUUAGAAAUUUGACCAUUGCUAUAUAAUGUCAAAAAAGUGACGUACCUAAAAGGAAUGUGAAGCCAUAUGUCAAUCUUUAAGACUCUUGGGAUAUUCAAAUUAUAUAUAAUCACUUAAUGUUUUAAUCGAAAAAUUAAUGUUACUAACUAUUUUGACUAAUUAAUAACAUUAUAAAAAUAUAAGAUCAAAUUAUGUUAAAAAUUAAAAUAUAUAGAUUAAAUAUAAACUUGUUCAUGGGUUGGGCCACCCUACAAUGCUCGAAGGCCCUCCUGAAAUGUGGGAGGGUUUUGAUAAAAAUAUAGGCCCGAAAAAUGAGCUUGAAUAAAAAAAGGCCCGUUUAAAAAAAGGUCAGGCCUCGAGUAAGGCAUUUCUAGCUUAGGCCCGGCCUGACCCAAAUUCACUAAAUGACAAAAAAAAUAUGCUCUUUUUUUUUUAAAUGUUAUUUUCUUGUUGUUUUCUCUCUAUUUUACUACAAUUUUACUAUUAUGUUGCUACUAUUUUGUUGUUAUUAUUUGGAUAUGGUAUAAAACUUAUUUUAUUAUUAAUUUUGUUAUUAUCUUAAAGGUAUUUGUUAACAUUUUAGAGGCAUUUGCUUGUUAAGUUGUAUCUAUCUUAGUGUUAUUUAAGUAUACAUAUUUUUUAAAAUUUAUUUUCAAUUUGUUGAAAAAUAUUUAUUUUGAUUUUUUUAGUAUUUUUAUGUAUUAUAUAUAUUUAAAAAUAAUAUAAAAAUUAAUACGGGCAGGCUGAGUCGGGCCCGGGCCUAGCAAAUGGGCCUAAAUUUUUAGUUGAGCCCAACCAUGAACACGUCUAUUUAUGAACAAGUAAAAAAUAGAAGAAAUUAUGUUAUGAACUCUUCUUACCACAUACGAUAUCCACUUGUCAAUCAAAUAACCAUACCACCUAUGCUUGUUUCUUAAAAUUUUUUGAACAUUAAGUUUUUAUCAUAUAUAUUCUUUUGAUAAAAUGCUUAGAAUUACUGAUACUCCCUCCCCAACACUUAAAUAAGAAGAUAACGCGUUUUAAUGCACUCGAACCCAUAUCCUCUUGUCAGGGGCUAACCUAGAAAUUUUUUUAGGGGGUCGAAAUUAAAAUUUAUUUUUUAAUGGUAUAUAUCUUUAUAAUUUUUAAAUGUUUAAAUCAAAUUUUUAUAAUUUUAGGGGAGCUAAAGUGUAAUUUUACUUUUAUUAAUUUAAAAUUUUAAAAAAUUUUAAAAUGUGUAAAUAACAAUUUUCUAUUUUAGGGAACCGGAUCUUGCCAACCUCUAAAUUUACCUUUACCUUUUACACUGAUAACAAUACUAAUGUCAAUAAUCCAUUAUUGUAAUGAGAUUUAUGUGUAUUUAAAAGGCAAUUUUAAUGAAAAUCAUGCCCCUUGCAUUUUAUACAGUCAGCAAAAUAGAAGAAGAAAAAAUGUGAUUGCAAUCACAUGCAUGAUUGAUGGUAAGUACUGACAAAUUUGUAUUUAUUUGUUUACUUAGAGUGAAAAAUUAAAUAAUUUAUUCAUGAAUUAUUUUUUUUUAUUUUUUUGAAUUGAAUGAUAAAGACUUUAUUCAACAAAUAUAAUUGGUCUAGUUUAAUUAUCUAACAAAAAAAAUAUCUCUUUUUUUAUGCAUAAAAAAAUUAAUAUUUUUGAAACGGAUCAAACUAUCAAUUUUUAAUCAAAUCAAUCUAUCUAGUUAAAUAAAUUAUUAAUAAAUAAAUAAAUAAAAUUCAAUUCAACCAAUUUGUAAUCUAGUUUAAUGGGGGGGGGGGUCAACCUAUUUUCUUUAUCACUCUUCGGCAGGGAUGAAAACAAAGGGUUAAAUGGAUAAAAUUUUUAUUUAUUCCUACUCCUAAAACAGCUUUCUACCUUCGUCCCUUCUUCCUAAAGUGAUAUUCUAAUCAAUUCUCAACUAGAUUCUGUUUAGAUAACACUAAUAUUAUUAAUGAAUACCAACAAAAACCAAAAUUAAGAAGAACCUUUUUCCUUUCAUGUAAGAAUAAGAAGGAACCUUUCCCUGCUUUAUCCUUCACUGCUAAAAAGUAGUUCCCACACAAAAAAAAAGAUUCUACUCCUUUUUCUUUUCCCAGUCCACACUGAAUCCCAUUCACUAUUAAUCACAUCUAAUUUUUUAAAGGUUGUUGAAACCAGAUAAAAGGAUCGGUUAAAUAAGUUCAUUCAAAGCAAUGAAAAAAUUAGUUAAUUUAUAAUUUGAUUGUAUCAAUAGUUAAAUUGGUUGAAUAAGAUUUUAUAGUUUUAAGAUAUUUUAAAUAAUUUAUUUAAUUAAAAUUAAAUAGAUUAAUCGAAUCGAAAAUAUAAUUCAUCUUUUCAGUUUCGAAAAAUUAUAUUUUUUAUUCAUUAUACACAAAUCUUAAAUAGGGGUUGCAUCCAAUUAAAAAUUGCAGCUAAUUGAAAUUAGAUUUGUACAUGAGUUGGAACAGCUUGCUAAGCUUGAAUAGGUUUUAAUCUCUCGACUCUGGCUUGUAUAUAAUUUAAACAAUAAAAAAUGUUUUAAACUUUAAAAUUAAUAAUAAAAAAAUAUAAAAUAUUUUUAUUUUAAGGAUUUUUAUUUUUUUUCCCUUAUGGGAGAACCAAAAAUGAGUCUCGAGUUUGAAUUUGUUUUGUUACCGGGCCAGGCCUCCGGCCCGGGAUCGAAGGUGUGUGUAGAGAAUUUUGGUUUUUUGGGGAAAAGCGAAAAAGAAAGACUUUCGGCUCUAAAGUAGAAAAAGAUAGCAGCAAGUGUGGGUCCCACUGUGGAAUUGGAAUAGAAUGAAUGGAUGCCUCGGUUAUGGUUUCCUCAACUAUUGCCCACUAUUUUGCCAUCUAUUAUCAACAAUGCCAUUGGACUCUUCCUUUUUUUUAAAAAUAAAAUAAAAAUUAAAUUGUGUUUAAAUUCGUUUUUUAAAUUAAAUUUAUUUUUUAUUACUUAAUUUCAAAAGUUUAUAAAAUCACUAUUAAAUUAUUCAAAAAAUUUUUAUUUAAAUCAUCGAACAAUUAAGUUUAAAAUUUUAUCCAAUGUUACAUCAAGGUAUGUGUUUAUUGCAUUAAAAUUAGACAUAAUAAUUUUUUUGCCCUCCAACUUUAUAGAAAAAGUCAUUUUGGCUCUCCAUUAUAUUUUGAUCUCUUUUAGCUCUUAAACUUGUAUUUUUAUCGAAUCACCUCAAAAUUGAUUGAAAAGUUAAUGUUUAUUAACUUUUCUAACAUGGCAUACAUGUGGAUUGCCACGCAAAUGACAUGCCAUCAUUUAAUUAAUUUUUUAAAAAAAUAGUUUUUAUAUUUUUUUUGAAUUUUAGAAUUUUAAAAAAUUAAUUAAAUACUUGCAUGUUAUCCACGUGACAGUCAACUUGUAUGUCACAUCAAUAAAAUUAAAAAACAUUUAAUUUUUCCCUCCAUUCUGAGUGAUAUGGCAAAAAAUGCGAGUUUAAAUGCUAACAAAGAUGAAAAAAUAAAUGGAUAGAUAAAAUGGAUUUUCUGUAAGUUGGAGGACCAAAAAGACUUUAUACUUUAAAAUUAAUAUAUUUGUUUUUUUUUAGCUUAUGUUCUACUUGUAAUUAAUUGAUUAUUAUGCCAUUGAAGAAAAAUUAACUUAAUCUACUCAUAUUAAGUUUCGAUGAUUUUAAAAUUGAGUCGGAUUAAAUUUAAAAUAUAAAUAAAUUACCCAUAAUAGCAAAUCUCUAAAUGGAAGAUAUCUUCUUUGUAUAAAAAUAUAUUUUUUCUUUUUUAAAAAAUAAAGGCAUAAUGAUAAAUUAAGCCUUUCAUAUUUAUUUUUUAUUAAUUUAGUCUUUAUUAUUUUUUAACUUAAAUAUAGCCCACAACAUUUUAAACAGAGUCAAAUUUGACCAUUAACCUCUUAAAGAGAAUUAAAUUGUUAUUUUUUUAACAAAAAAAUCUUAUUAAAAUGUUAAAAUUUUAAACACGAAAGCUCGCAUGACAAUCUACGUGUACUUCAUAUUUUUAUUUAUGAAUUUUUAUAAUUUUAUGAAAUUAAAUUUAUUUUAUUUUUGAAUAUUUUAUAAUUUUUAAAUUAUUUGUUAACGUGAUAUAUAAAAUAAAUAGUGUUAUAUUAGCAUGAAAUGCUACCAUGCAUGUUGGUCAUGCCGAUAUUGCUAAAAAAUUAAUAUUUUAGUGGGCAUUUUCAUUAGAGAAAAGUAAUUGGACUCUUUUUGAAAAGUUGAAUGCCAAAUUUAGCUCAACAAAAAAAAAGAGCCAAUUUGACAAAAAAUCUAAACGUUAAAGGCUAAAUUUAUCAUUAUGCCAAAAAUGAAAUAGAAUAUAACACACGCAUACAUAAGUGUGUUUAAAUAUGUGAUAUUGAAGUUGUUGCAACAACAACAAUAUAAACCUAGUAAAUCAACCACAAUAGGAUAAGUUUAAGAGUGAUAUCAGUUCGGUUCAAUCAAAUUUUUUAGAAUUUUUUAACCGUCCAUCAUAAUUUGGUUCAAUUCUCUAUUUUUUCUAUUGAUUUUUUAUUUUGAAAUUUAGACUUAUUUUUAUAAAUGAGCUUUGUUUUAUGGCUUUUGAAUAUUAUUUGACAAAAUGUAAAGGUAUUUUUCAUAAAUAUUUCUUUAAAAAAAACAAAAUUUGAAGAACUUUUAAAUUAUUUUCAUUAUUUUGAAUAUAAAAUUUUUAUUUAUAUCUUAAAAAAUCAAGAUUAAUUAAAUAUUAAAUAAAAAACAAAAUUUGGUUCGAUUUCAAGUAACUGUAAUUUUUAAACUUACAUUUCAUAAAUCAUCCAAAAACCUCAAUUCGAGUUGAUUUUCGAAUUUUUUUGGCCACCUAAUUUAUUUUGCACCUAUUGUAAGAUUUUUUAACUUCAUAAUGGAUUACCAUAGAUCUUAUUUUUUAAAUUAUUAAUCGAAAUAUUAUUUUAAUCUCAAUUAGAGAAAAAUUAAUGUAUCCUUAAUUAUUUUUUAUUAUUGACCACUAAUUGUUUUUCUUUUUUUAUUAUUAUUUAUUGUUUUUACUUUAUUUUUGUAUUUUUAAAUUUAAAAUAAUAAUAAAGUAACCUAUCAUUAUCAAAACAAUUUAUUAAUUCAUCAACUUAAUAGCUUUUAAAUUAUUAAUUUCAUCAAUUUGAUUUAAAAAUAUUAAUUCACCUGCCUCCUCAUCCUUCCAUUCAACUUUCUCUGUAAAUUGGCGUUAAGAAUUGCCUCAGCAUUGCCUUCUACUUCUUGUGUAAAGUUAAACAAAAUAACCAAAGAACCCAGCAUUGGUUAUAAUGGACCUAUUUCAGGUUUAGGCCCAAACCAGUUUUCUUCUUCUUUCUCAUUAAUAUUUUUUUUGUUAAACUACGUGGGAUGUCCCUGUAUUAUAUGGACUAAAUCAAAUUAGUCCAUCUAUUAUUACAUAGAUCAAUUUAAUCCCUAUCUUAAAAAGUUUAAAUUUGUAGCAAAUUUAAUAUUUACUAUAAAAAUAUCUUGAAAUUUAUUUUUAUCAGUUGAACUUCAAUUCCAAACAAUAUAUUUCAUUUGCAUAACUAUAAAAACGUUGAAAGAUACCUUUAAAAAUAUCAAAUUUUUAUUAUUUUUAGAGGGUCAAAAGUAAAAUUUUACCUUAAUUAUUUUAAAAUUUUAAAAAAAUUUAAGGGUCUAAAUGAAAUAUUUUCCAUUUGGGGGCAGGGAAGGGAAAUGCCACAGCAGCUACGAAUCUCUCUGUAAUUACAUGUUUUUUUUUUCCUUCGCUAUUUUGAUAAUGAUUUCCCCCUAUGCGCGCAUACUCUGCCUUACUUAUUCUUGCCCCCCUUUCUUUUUCCCUUUACAAAAUUAAUUUGUUUAUAUCAAAUAUAAUCUCUACAAAUAUUAUAAUUUCAAUCAAAAGUUAUUAUUAUUUCAACCGUAUUAAAAUUACACAAAAAAUUUACUAAAAAAUUGCACGGAUUUAGUAAAUGGUAAUCAAUUAAUUUUACGUAUUCAUUAAGUAAUUAUAAUAUUGCUAUUUACAUUUUAUGAAAAAAAAAGUCUUUUAUACUAUAAACAAGUUUCAGAUCAAUUUGGAUCUAAGGUAUAUUUUUUUAUUAGUUAAUGAAUACUGAUCAACCGUACUGAUCAUUAAAUCACCGUUUGAAGCUCAUUAGCGAAACUUUAGAAAAGAAAAAAGCUCACUAUUAUAUAAACUUUAAAAAGUUACAAAAUAUCAUUUAAUUAUUCGAAAGUUUUUAUUUAAUUCAUUAAGUUGUUGAAAUCAUUGUUGUAUGAUCUUUUCUGUUCUCAUCGCCUACACCAAUCGAAACCUCUAAUUCAUUUUCUUUUCUAUAGUUUUUUUUUUCUUCAGAAAAUAACUUUGAACAUCAUGAAUCUAUGAACCAAGAUCCAAACAGUUUUUUUAUCCGAUCUCUAAUCAUCAGAUCGACUUGGAUCUAAAAUAUAUUUUUCUACUAGUUGAUAGGUAUUAAUCCAUUGUACCGAUUGCUGAAUCACUACUUAGAACUCAUUAGCCAAACUUUAAAAUUAUCAUCAGAGAUAUUAAAAUUAAAAUAAAUUUAUAAAUAGUCAAUAAUUAUAUUCUAUACCAUACACUAACAAAAUAUUUUUAUAGAACUAGUUGAGUUUUAUUAUGUAUUUAUUAAAUUAUUAUCAAAAUCAAAAUUAUAUAAUUUAUAUAAUAACAACAAAUAUUUAUUAGGAAUGGUGAUUAAGGUUUCUGUUGACCUAAAUAAUACGAAUUAAUAAACGAACAUAAAUAUUGAAAAAGAUCUGGUCCUGUACCCAGGAAAUCUAGUAAUCGUGACAAUUUUGCCACCGCUAUUGGUUUCGGUUUCUUCCAAAUUACGAAUCGAAAAAGAUCCGGGCCCGCCGGACAUUAGUUUCGCCACCGUUGUCGGUUUCGGUUUCUUCCAAUUUACAAAUAUAAAUAUCGGUAAGUAUCUGGUCCAGUACGAAAUUUAGUAAUACCAACAGUCUCCCAAACUCUGUUGUUGCAUUCUCGAAAAGGUUGGUCUAAAAACGACUUUCCCAUCAACAAGCAAAUUCCUUAAUAAGAAAAAAGAGAUUAAAUUUGUUGACAAUGGCAGUAAGCAACAAACAUCAUCUUGAAUUCUUUAAACUACCCACCUCCAUGCACAUCUUCGUUCGGAUAUUCGUUUUCUGAAUCCCGAAUCCCUAUACAAACAUAACGCCAGUUGUAAGCCCUAAUAAAUGACAACACCAUGUAAAUCCUAAUAAAUGAGAAAUGAAAUUACCUCCAAGUUCAUGAGCCAUCUUCUUAGAAAUAAAAGCACGAAACCCAGUAUACCACGAUGUUGCACUAGAAACAGCGUAUAUUCUCUUUUUCGCUUCCUCUUCACUACAAACAAAAAAGAAAAAUAAAACCCAUUUCUCAAAUUCCAGGAAAAAAAAACCCAAAAUUGAAGGAAUUAGAAACCUGCCGACAACAGAAGCGAGAGUUUUAACGUAGAGAUCGAUCUCUUCGCCUAAGGAAGGUUCUUGGUCUUCCGGGAAUUGGAAAGGGAUAACCCAAAGAUCAUCAUCACGUCCAACUGCGAAGUGGGUAUUUGAAAGGGCAGGUAGAAUUUGCUGUCUACGAAGGACUUUCCCAUCAACAAACAUAUCCCCUGAGAGAAAAGAGAUUAAAUUUGUUGACAAUGGCAACUUCAAUAGCUAUAAGCAAAAAAAAAAAUCAUCUUUAAACUACCCACCUUCAAAAAAACUAUCUUCGUCAUCCAAAUACUCAAUUGAUAAAACCCAGCGUACACGAGGUAACCCUAUGGAAACAUAAUGUCAAUUGUAUGAAAAAGAUUGAUUUUAGAACAAAGUGGAUGCCUCAUCAAUUAUGAGUUCAAAAACACUCACAAAAACAACUGGGGAAAACCGUAUAAACCCUAAUAAAUUAGUAUAGAAAGUAAUCACGUCGGGAGGUUUAAAACCCUGAAACAGCUAAGAAAACAUCACACACUUUUUUUUUCUUUCUUUCUGAAAAACCGUUGUUUCAGAAAACACAAUUCUUCUUCCAAUCACACUAGAAAAAGGGAAAAUCAUGUAAAACCUAAACCCUAAUAAAUGAGAAAUGAAAUUACCUCUAAGUUCAUAAAUCAAAUCCUUUGAGAAAAAAGCACGAAACCCAGUGUACAGCGUUGUACAAACAGAGUAUAUUCUCUUUUUCGCUUCCUCUUCACUAUAAGAUCAGAACAAACAAAAAAGAAAAAUAAAGCCCAAUUCUCAAACUCCCGGAAAAAAAAGCCCAAAUUUAAUGAAAUUUGAAGGAAUAAUUAUUAUUUAAAAACCUGCCGACUACAGAAGCGAGGGUUUUAACAUAGGUAUCGAUCAUUUCUUCUUUCAAAGGUUGUGGGCGUUCUGGGAAUUCCAAAAUGAUAAGCCAAUGUUCAUAAUCAACGCCAUCUAGGAAAGCCGCUGGUGAUCGGGAAAGGUCGCUCGAAGUCGAGUAGCCGGACCCGGAUGUCUUGGUUCGGGUCAGGAUUUUGGUUGCUUCGGGGAUAAAAACUGGGGUUUUGUUGAGGAGAGUAGCAGUGAGGCGAGAACGGAAAGGAAAGGAGGAAGAAGAAGAAGAAGAAGUGAGGGCGCGGCUUAAAAGGGUUGAUAGACAUCGUCGGGCAUUGACAAAAGCCAUUUUCCGGCAACGCUGGUUCUCUCUGAUAAUAAGCUUCGUUUCUUGGACACUCCCAGAUUGAGAUUGUAAUAAAGACCACCGGUUCACCGAUUAGUUGUCUCCUUCUGUUCAUCUAAUUUAUUAGCAUAAUAUCAUUUCAUAUUAUUUCUUCGAUCUAAUUUAUUAAUACAAUAUUUUAUCAUAUCAUAUCUUUCUUUAUUUAUGUAUUUAAUUUUAAAAUUUGAAUGUAAUCUCAUUCAAUUCGUAUUAAUUUUUUUAUAUAAAGUUAAUAUUAUUUAAAAGUUAAUAAAAAUAUACACUCAAAAUAAAUUUGGACAAAUAGAUAUCAAAAUUAUCUUAAUUUAAACACAAAUUUAUCCAAUUUCAUAUGGAUAGAUGCAAAAAUGUAAAAUUUAUGAUUGUUUUUAAAAGAAUACUGUUUAGUAUUAUAUAAAAGGGCCUGAAAAACCAAAGUAGAAGUCCAAAGACAAUAUCAAGGAGAAAACCCAACAAACACGCCACCAUUUCACCAAAAUGGUAAGAGACGUGCCUCUCCCCCGCCGUUGACUCAGCCCAUUGCUAUGAACAACCUGCAAAAAAAAAAAAAAAGAACACAGAACAAAGAAUAGCAUAAACACAGAAGCAGAAAAGCAGGAAUAGCAGAAAUAAAAAGGAGAAAGCAAAAACAAAAAAAACAAAAACUAAUACCAUGUAAUCUAUUUGGCUAUAAAAGCCGAAACCAUUGUAACAAAAAAAAAAGAGAAAUCAAAUACAAAAAAAAUAUUAUAUCUUUUAAUAUUAUUAAACAUACACAUUUAAUUAUUUUUAUUUAGUGAUAUAAUAAAUUAUUAAUACAAUUCUAUUUUAAUAAUUAAUUUUAAAAAUAAUAAUUCUAAAUAAUUUUCUUCACAUAUUAUUGAAAAUAUUCAAUAUUAAUAUAUAUAGUAAUAAUAAAUAUUUAUUACAAAUAUAAAUAUAUUAAUAAUAAAUAUUUUUUAGUAUAAAGGUUAAAAUAUGUCAUAAGUCUAUAUACUCUUCACAAAUUUGUAAUUUAGUCACUGUAUUUUUAUUUUCAAGGAUUUAGUCCCUCUAUUUUUCAUAUUUGAAGAUUAAGUCCAAUUGUUGAUAUUGUUCAAUUUUUUUGGUUAAUUUUGUUGAUGUCACAUUUUUAAAUAAAAAAAUACUCACUUGGUAGUCAUAUAAUUAAAAAAAUGACGUUGUAAUGAAUAUAAAUUUAACAAAAUAUUUUUAAUAUAUGCAAAUACAAUGUAAAAUAUAAAAUUAUAGAUGUAAAGUAAACACAAUUAGAAAACGAAAAUAUAAUAAAAUCUCAAAUGUAAGUUUUAUGAAAUAUUUGUAAGAAAUCUAUCAAAUAAUAUAAAAUAUUUUACAUAUAUUCAUCCAAACAACAGAAAAUAUUUGACUUUUUUAUGAAAGUAAGCCAUUUUCUAAAAAUAAUUUAAGCCAUUUUCUAAAAAUAAUUUUCCGGAAGUCAAUUUCAAUGAAACAAACAGAGCCUAAGUAUUUUUAGUUGAUGAUUUGAUUUUUUAUUGUAAAAAUUCAACUCGACUCGAACUCGAAAUUCGAAAUUUGUUAUUCGAGUUGACUCGAAUAAUUCGAAUAACUUGAUUCAGUUAACUCGAAAUUAAAAAAAAAAUCGAUUUUUUUGAAUCGAAUCGAAUUUUGUUCACCCCUAGUUAGAUGUAACCAUAGUAAUAAGCGUGGAGAUUAAUUAUUGUAAAAAUUCAAUUCAACUCGAACUCGAAAUCCGAAAUUUCUUAUUCGAGUUGACUCAAAUAAUUCGAAUAACUUGAUUCGAUUAGCUCGAAAUUUAAUUUUUUUCGUUUUUUUCGAAUCGAAUUGAAUUUUGUUCACCUCUAGUUAGAUGUAAUAUCAUAGUAAUAAGCGUGGAGAUUAAUUAUAAUAAAAACGUAAAAUGAUUAUUUAAGAUACUAGAAUAAAAUUUCUAUAUAAUUGAAUUUAUAAUUUAUUUUAAAAUUAAAAAAACUAUUAGUAAUUAAAAAAAAUAUUAGUAAAGAGGGUAUAUAGAUAUAGCAAAAGAAAAAGAGAAGGCAUUUGUGGCAUGUUAGUGUUGAAGCAAUGUAGUGUUAUUGUUGGCUAUUAGGCAUCAUGUUGUCCUUUUUGGUGAAUGAGCACUACGCAAGGGGUUGUUUUUUUGGGUUAAAUUAUGCUGUUGGUCCUAAUUCUUACAUAGAGUUUGAGAUUUAAAGUCAAUCUUCCUACUUUUUCAAUUUAAAAUUUUUAAUUUGUUAGUAGUUUCUAUUAAAACUUAUCAAUUUAUAUGUUAAUUUAUUUGCAAUGUCAUAUGAAGACAGCAUAACCAAAGUUUGAAAAAAAAAACUUAUAAUUUUAAUGUUUGGAGUAAGAUUUUAAAUUAAAAAAUAAAAAGAAAUUAAAUCCUUUUUAAUUUUCUAAAUACAUAAAUUAAAUCUCAAAUAUAAGAAGAGUCAAAGUGUAAUUUUACCUUGACUAAUUUAAAAUUUUAAAAAAAAUUAAGGACCUAAAGACAAUAUUUUCCAUUUUGGGGCUAGACUAAGACACUGCCUUACUUAUCCCCUCCCCCUUCUUUCCUGUGUGUCUGAUAACUGACUCUGUUUUGCUCCCUACGACCCUGUGCUGCUCCCUACUUCACCUUGAUAUCGCGAUCACAGCUUCAUCCCAUGCCUGUGCAAUUGUACUCAAACAAAGGACAUUCUACGCACCAAAAACAAUUUCCGCAGAGGACUUGAUACAGUUUGGAAAAUCAGCAUGAAAUAUUUACUUGAAAAGGCAAGUAUCUCUAACGCCAUUGUUGAGCAGACAAUUGCUGCUCCUUCUUCACCUUUGUUUACCUAUGCUACCUACCUUCUUUGCUUUUUGUCCUUAAUGCUCCUUUUCAUUCUUUUUCAUUUUAUAUAUGAUAUUAGAGUCUUUUGUAAGGGGAGGAAAAAGUCUAAACGCAGCAUGUCGUUAAGGAACCAGAGGAAAGUGGAUGUGAAAGUGUUUGUUGUUUGUAAGGGGAGGAAAAAGUCUAAGCGCAGCGUUAGAUGAACAGUACACCAUGGGAUGAGAGAUUGCUGGAGAUUACAUAAUAAUAAUAACUUAAUAAUCAAAAGAAAUUACAUUAUAUAAACAAAAACGUUCUAUAUGUUCUUUAACGAUUCUGCUAUACAUGCAGAUUACAUAAUUUCUUAUAUCUAACUCCUUUUUUUUCCUAUUUUAUUGCAUAUAUCACGAGUUACCACGUUAAAUUUAAUGCGUUGCUGCUUCAUCCUGACGAUCAUAGCUUCAGCCCUGCAAAGCAUCCGCUGCUCGUAAAAUGCCUCAAGCAAUAUGUUGUAGGUGUAAAGAUUAGGCUCUAUGCCUUUCUUCAGCAUUCCAGAGAAGACAACGAGUCCUUCCUUUAGCAUUCCUUGCUUACAGAAUGCAUUAAUGACAGUGUUAUAGGUGACAACAUUAGGAUGAGGGCCAUUUUCUUCCAACUCCUUAAGCAUCUUAACAGCUGCAUCCAAAUCCCCAAUGAUACUAUACCCUUUUAUUAUGAUACUGUAAGUAUUUAUAGUGGGAACUAUACCAGUUUCAUCCAUUUCAGCAAAUAAUUUAACAGCCUCGUUAACUUUUCUUUCUAUGCAUAACCCAUCCAUCACAGUAGAAAAAGUAAAAACAGUGGGUUGAAAUCCUGUUUUUAUCAGUUUGCCCCAAACAGAUAAAGCAGAAUUAAGUUUACCAAGUCAAUCCACUUGUUGAAAGUAGCGGUAUUUCGCUUGAAGCCCCAACUUUCCAUUUUCCCACAGAGAAAAACAACUGUGGGAAGGUGGUUCUCCUUAGCAGAUGCCGCUAACAUUUGAUUGAACUGAAAGGUUGUUUUGACUUUUGAGGUUAGGAUAUGGGUUAUUAACUAUCUUGUUUGAAGUUUCAAAAACAUCAAAAGCUUUUGUAGUAAUGCUUUUGAUUGAACGAAAUCAAAUAGGCUUUGCCAUUGCAAGAGAAGAAAGAAAAACAGGGGCUGUGACUGUGAUAAGCAGAGAAAGAAAAACAAGGAUCGAUGAAGAAGAAAGAAGCGGUACAGCAUGUAUAUAUAUAGUCCGACUUAAGAAACAAAGGUGAAAUUGCUUCUUUAGUCCAUUAAACUCUUGAACCCGUUGGGGACAGUUUUUCAUUUCAAUCAUUUCGAGAUAAAAGUUUAAAUGGUAAAUUUCCAGUUUUCAUCCCUCUACUAUAAUCACAUUUAGGAUUUAAUCUUUAUAUUUUGAUUUUUAAUUUAACAUAAUAAUUUGGAUCCCUACUUUUUAAAAUGACAUUUGUUAAUUCAAAUAGUUAUAUUAUCUUCCAAUAUUUGGAUUAAAAUGCAUACAUAAAUUGUUCUUAAAAAAACUCUUUUCUAAUAUGAUAAGUCAAAUUAUAUAACAAUGGUUAUCAAAAAAAAAAAUUGUAUAACAAUGGUUAAAUAGUAAUUUUGGUCCUUAUACUAUAUUUGAUACAUCAACUUUUAUAAUUUAAAGCCUUCCUCACAUUACACACGACCAUCUCUCUCUCUCUCUCUCAUUAUAACAUAAUGGUUAAAUUUCAAUUCUUAUCCCUCAUUUUUUUCUAAAGAUUAUAUAACAAUCGUCAAAUUACAAUUUUGAUCUUAUACUAAGCUCAAAUUUGAGAUUUUAAUCUCUAUACUUUGAUUUUUUACAUAAUGUGAUGCACUAAUUAUUUCAGUGUUAUUAGUUAGCCUAAACACUUUAUUUUAAUUAAAAUGCUCAUAUGAAUUUUAAUAAUUUUUAACAUCGUUAAAAUUCUUUGUAAAUUGAAGUCCAUUGUAAAUAUCAUUUUUUUUUCACAUGGAUACCGAGCGAGUUUCUUUCUUUCUUUUUUUUCUUUUUAAUUUCAAAAUGUCAAUUAGUAGAUUUAAUAGAAGAGUUCUUAUUGUAAUAAUUAAACCCGAUUUUUAAAUUUAGAAAGUAAAGAAAUUAAAUUCUUAAAAAUAAAAAUAGGUAAUUGAUUUCCAAACAUAUAAAAAAUACAAUAACUUAGUAAUUUUUUAACCGAAUUAAUUCCGAAUUAACUUAUGACAUUAAAUCAAUCAAAAAUUUAAAUAAUAGUAUAAAUAUAUAAUAUUUUAAAAUAUAUAUACAAAUACAAUAAAAACACUUUAAUCUGCAGCACAUGUAAAUGAAUAUCAUUGGGUUUUAAACUUUUUUUUUUUUUAAGAAAAAUAGAAUCGAAAUGAGAGAAGAAAUUGGUGUACCCUAUUGGCAUUCCUAAUUAUGUAUGGGCAUUUGCAAGUCUCAAAUGUUUUGGUGUUCUUUAUCUAACUGCCCAAAUUUGCAUGGGCCCAUAAAGAAUAAACCAAAAUAAUAGGUCCAAAUAACAGUUCAUUACAACCCAAAUUUUUUAAACAAGCCCAAACCCUAAACAAUCCAAAACAAAAACAUAUUUAACCCAAACUAAAACAAGCCCAAAAUUGAAUAUUUUCAGCAAAAGAAAAAAGGGUCAAAAACCCUAGCAGCCUUGCUCCGCUUCCCACGUGCCUUGCCAGCACGUUCAACGCCCAAAGCCUAACCACCCCUGGCUCGUUUGUGGCUCUUGCACCAGAAUAGCCGAAGUAGCCCCCGUUGACUCCUAGCGGACCUACGAAAGAGAACCAAAAGCAGCAGAAAAAUAACAAAAGUAACAGUAACAAAAAAGCAAAAACAUAUUAUAUUUGUAACACUUUUGGCUAUAAAAGCACGAAAGACCAAUGUAUUCAGGGGGAUUUUUUUUCAAUAAUUAUAAAAUAGAGUUCAAAAAUUUUAAAAAGGUGAUUCUUUUUGUAUUUCAUUCUUUAUUUUUGUAAAUAAAUAAAGAAAACAAAAAAAAAAGAUCGAAACCUACCUUCUUCACUGUAUCUCGCCAACAUCGAAGCUUCUAUCCAUUCGCAAAAGCCAUGAGAGACCUUUAAGGUUUCAUUUCGGGCUUUGUCGAAAAAAUACGACAGGGCGAAGGGUGGAGAAGGGCGUCGAUUGAAUGGUUUUACUUCUUUUUUUUCUAUUUUUCUUUUUAGGCUUUUGCCUUUAGAUCUAGGUUUAGGCUUAAAAAGGGUAAAAAAAAAAGGCCUCUUUUCGUUUUCUCUGGCCAUCGUGGACAGCGGCACCGUCGCCGGCGACCGGAUGAUAGGCUUCAGCCAGAGAGAAAAUGAGAGAGAGAAAGCCUUUUUUUUCUAAAACAUGGAUAAAUGAAUUUUUUUGUCAAAAUAUAUAAGUCGACUCCCAUUUUUUCAUUUUUUCAAAAUAUAUAAGUCAGUUCUUUUUUUAAAAAAGUGGUUUCGAGACUUUACAUAUCCUUAACUUCAUGGGCAAUUAGGGACUACAACUUGGCGAGGUGGCCCGAUUGAUAGAGAUUAGGUCAAUUUUGGAUGGUUUAGAGUGGGACCAUUAUGCAUUAUUAAAUUCUCAAAGUCCCACAUUCAAAUUUGUUGAGCUGAACAUUUUAAAUAUAAUAUGAUAUAAAAUAUACGAUGGAGCACCAAAAAAAAUUAUAAUAAGAAAAUUCAUUUAUAUAAAUUAGGAAUUCACAAAUUUAAAGUGAAAAGAUUAAAAUAUCUUCAAAUAUAUUAUUUACUUUAAUUAUAGAAGGAUAUUCUCGUAAUUUUCUAACAGAAUUGAUACAGAAAUUUUAGUAUAAAUAAUUAUUUACCUAUUAUUUUCACCAUAUUAUUUUUAGAAAAUAAUUUUUAUUUUUUAAAAUUAAAAAAAGUCUCGUAAAUAGAAAUAAAAAAUUAUUUUUAAUAAUAAAAAUAUAAAAAACAUAAUUGGUAACUAGUUUUCUCCAACUCAUCUAAAGUUAAAAACAUUUAUUUAUUUUUAUUAUCUUUUUUCACUUUUACAAAACACAAUGAAAACAAUUUUUUAUUAUUUUCUAAUUUUCAUAUAUUUAAUUUUUCCAAAAAUUAUUUUUAAAAAUUUCAACUAAACACAUUUUAUUCAAUAUUUUCUAUUUUCCAAAAUAAAAAAAUAAAAAAAUAACUUCAAUUUCCUUAAACCAAACACAACCUAAAUUUCUAAUUAAAAACAACAAAACAAAAUGUAAGUGAAUGGUCGGUAUAUAUAUUUUGACAUGUGACUUGUGAGCCAACUAAAAAAGCAUAAAGCAUUUAUUUGUUUUUAUUCUAUUUCAAUUUUAAAAUGUUUUAUAAUCAUUUUUAUUUAUAUUUUUAUAAAUUUAUAAAUAUUAAAAAUCUUACAUGGAUAGUUUGUAUAUUAAUUUGACUAUUUUGAAAAAUAAAAAUUUUAUUCUAAUAUUAUUUAUUUAAUUUUUAAAACAUUUUAUAAUAAUUCAUAAUUUUUACAUGAAAUAUUAUCUCAUAUAUAAUAUGUGCAAAAGAUGUUAUAGGAUAUAAUAAAGAAAUUUAAAAUUAAUAUAUAAAUAAAUGAAACACUUGUCACAUUAUACUCGUGUAGUUUAAAAAUUUCUCAAAUUAUGUAUAAAAUAAUUAUUUUUUAUUCAAUAUUAUUGUAAAUAAAAACAUCUAAUUAAUUAACAAAAUAAUUAUAUAAAUAUAUAAAAAUAAAAAUCUUUGACAAAAAGGUAAGCCUAAUGUAUAUACAACCUACAAAUCACGAAACAUGAUUAAAUCAUAUCAGAUUAUUUAGAAAGAAAAUUCCAAACCAAAUUCAAAAUAUUUAAUUAAAUCAUGUGAUGCUCAUCCUGUGAGUAAAGGAAAAAAAACAUAUAAAAUCAACAUUAAAAAUCGAGCAAGCAUCAACUUAACAUUUUGAAAUUUUCUGUAAUCUAAACUAUUUAACUUAAAAAUAAAUUAUAAAAUUAUUGGAAGAUAUAAUAUCUUUAUUAUAAGGGUAAACUACAAAAGUAUUCAUUUUUAUUUGUCUCGGGUUACAUUUUAGUUAUUUUUGUUUGAAAUGUUAUAUUUUAGUCACUUAUAUUAUCGUUUUGUUACGAAGUGAUCACUCUAUCAUUAAACUUCGUUACCUCUUUAACGACAAUCCUACGUGGCAUAUAGGACAUUCAAGUUGGCAUUUCAAACAUAUAUGGAUUGCCACGUAAGACUGCCAUUAGGAAGGUAACGAAGCUUAACGAUAGAGUGAUCACUUCUUAAGAAAACGAUAACGUAAGUGACUAAAACAUAACAUUUCAAACAUAAGUGAUUAAAAUGUAAUCUGAGACAAACAAAAAUGACUACUUUUGUAGUUUACCCUUAUAAUAAAAUUUGUUGUCUUUAAAAUUUAUAUUUUUAAUUUUUUUUCAAUUUAAUUGAUGUCUAAUUAACUUAUAACACUAACUCAAUUACAGACUUUAUAAGUAGUAUACAUUAAGGGAAAAGUUUACCAUAAUAUGGGCUUAGGCUAAACGAUAAAAAAUCCUUAGUAUAAAAAAGAAUUAAUCAAGCUCUUAUGAAAAGAUGCACUCAAUUGUGCGCAUAAUAAUAAAAAUCAAUUGGUCUCUUUCAUUAAUAAAACAAUCAUUGAUCAAUUUAACCAUUAAUAUUUGUUGAUCACUUGGAUAAGUAUGUUGAUGUGUUAUGCCAUGUAAGCAAAAAAAAUUUAAAAUUAAAAGUCUAAAAUAAUAUUCAAAAGUUAAUAAAAAUAUACACUCAUAAUAAAUUUGGACAAAUGGAUAUCAAAAUUAUCUUAAUCUAAACACAAAUUUAUCCAAUUUCAUAUGGAUAGAUGCAAAAAUGUAAAAUUUAUGAUUUUUUUUUAAAAGAAUACUGUUUAGUAUUACAUAAAAGGGCCUGAAAAAACAAAGUAGAAGUCCAAAGACAAUAUCCAGGAGAAAACCCAACAAACACGCCAGCAUUUCACCAAAAUGGCAAGGGGCGUGUCUCUCCACCGCCGUUGACUCAGCUCAUUGCUAUGAACAACCUGCAAAAAAAAAAGAAAAAAAACAAAGAACAGAGAGCAAAGAAUAGCAUAAACACAGAAACAGAAAAGCAGGAAUAGUAGAAACAAAAAGGGGAAAGCAAAAAAAAAAAAACUAAUAUCAUGUAAUCUAUUUGGCUAUAAAAGCCGAAACCAUUGUAACAAAAAAAAAAAGAAGAAGAGAGAAAUCAAAUACAAAAAAAGAAAACAAUGAAAUUUCAAAAACGAAAGUAGUCUAUUUAUUUCAAUCUUUUAUUAUUUUCAAAAAAAAGAAAAAAAAUAGAAAAUAAAACAAAAAAGUUUAGAUCUUUACCUAACGUUUCGUCUCAUCGCCGGCGUGGGUGGCCUCCCCGAUUCGAAAGGUCUCCAAACCUCUUAAGGUUCGUCGAGAGCCUCAUCUGAUGAGGAAGAAACCAAAGGGUUUCAUCUUCUUUUUUGGAGGUUUGAUUCUUUUUGGAGGGUUUUGACCUUAGGAUCACGUUCUACGCGUUGAGAAUUUUUUAAUUUAUAUAGCCUCCUAAAACGACAUCGUUUUGGCACGACACAAAAAUUUGACCCAAAUACCCCUAGGAUCCGCGCGUUUUCACAUGGAAGGUCUAAUUGCCACUUUGGUCCUUCCACUUUUUUGCCCCUUUUUUAUUUCGUCCUAUUUCUUUUUUAUUUGUUUUAAUUUCACCCCUUUAAUUUUAAUUUCUUUACAAGUCAGUCCCUUGACGCACUGUUGGCCUAAGGGAAUGACAUGGGGUUGGGAUAAUUUCUCUCUGAGUCCCUAUACGUUUCUUCUCAUUUUAAUUUAAUCCUUUAUGUUCUGUUUUCUUAUAAUUUAGGAUUUAAAUUUGGUUAUAUUUUCAAUUUAGUCCUUUAUUUCCCCUUUCUUUUUUCUUUUUUUUGCAAUCCAUGCUUGAAAUUUUGUUUAAAUCUCAAUUUAAUCCAUUUAUUUAAUUCAACCAUUCCUCUCUUUUUUCUAUUUUUAUUUUUUUAACAUUUUUUAUGUCAUUUAUAUUUUUCCCCUUUAAUUUACAUUUUUUUAUUUUUUUCAUUAAAUACAAUAUUAAUUAUAUCAUAAUUAUUUAUUGUUAGCAUCAUUGAUUAAUAUUAUUAUUACUAUUAUAGAUGUAUUAUUAUUUAUUAGCAUGAUUACUAUUAUUUUAUUCUCACUAUUAUUUUGUUAUAUUAUAGUUCUGUUUUUUACCCAUAUAGUUAUUUUGUUCUAUUUCUGCCAUUACUAUAGUACGUAACAUGCUUAAAUAUUUGUUCAUCUUUGUACUAUGCCCAAAUAAAUUAAUUGUUCAUCACAUUAAAUGUUAUAUUCGUUUUUACCCGAUGCAUAAGAAACAACUAGAAUCGUCUUUAAUUAGGGAAUUUGAGAAAUCGUGCCCUAAUUUACGGGGUACGAUUUUUUUCUUGAACCGAGAUAAUCGAACAUCCUUUUAAAAUUCAAGACACAUAUAGGACUUAUGUAAUAAUCAAAUGGCGUUUAUUCUUAUUUUCGAGAAUUCGAGACAUCAUGCCAAUGAUCUUUUCUUCUCAAUUAACUUGAGAUAAGAAGGCCAUUUCCAUAAAAUUUAAUUUAGUUAAUUAGCGGUAUUUUAAUCAAAUAACAUCAUGCAAAGAGAAGAUCGUAUUUUAAAUUCUCUUCGAAUUUACAAUUUUCGACGCUAAGACAUCAAGUAAUUAACUAGUACCAAUUUUGGGCGUUAUAAAAAUAUUAAUCCUUCCUCAUAUCUCAGUCAACAUUCAGCUUAUACUUACUCGUCAUUCUCAUUUAAUGUACAAAUUAACAUGUAGUGAAAAUCUCAACAGAUAAUCUUAAUCUAUUAAUUACUUACAUCAUGUUGCCAACCCCUCCAUUCGAUUCAUCUUCAUAAACACCUGUUUGAUAAUGUUUUGUAAGCGAAAAUAAAAUCAGAAAUCUCGUAUGGAAAGUGUCACUCAUGGUGUUGCAUUUGCACGAGCACGAACAUACAAUUUUCUGUCAUUUUAUUAUUAUUAUUUCCUAAGAUAAAUAGGUAAUAUUGAAAUUAAAUUGUUAUUAGUAAAAUAAAGUAAAAAAAUAAAUAUCAAUCUUCGACCCUUCUCUAAUAUUUUUUUUUUAAAAUUAAAAAUAAAAAAAAAUAAAUAAUGAGAUAUAUGAAUCCACCAAAUCGGUUUCUUCCAAAUUUCGAUUCAUAAAUAACGACAACUAUCUGCUCCUGCACGAGAUCAGUUUCACCACCACUAUCGGUUUCGGUUUCUUCCAACUUUCGAUUCAAAAAGCGGUCAUCCUCUGCACCAUAUCAGCUUCCAUAAUACUGUCGAAUACGGUUUCGUCCGAUAAAUUCCGAUCAGAAAUAACGUCAAGUAUCUGCUCCUGCAAGAAAUCUAUUAAUCCCACAAGGUGCCCCACCUUUGGCGGUUGCAUUUUCGAUAAGGUUGGUCUAAGAACGACUUCCCCAUCAACAAGCAAAUGCCCUAAUAAGAACAAGGAGAUUAAAUUUGUUGACAAUGGCAGUAAGCAACAAACAUCAUCUUGAAUUCUUUAAAUUACCCACCUCCACAAAUAUCUUCGUUCCGAUGUUGGACCUCUGAAUCCCGAUAAAAGCCUUCUACAAGGGGUAACCCUAUAUAAACAUAACGCCAGUUGUAAACCCUGAACCGUAAUAAAUGAGAACACCAUGUAAACCCUAAUAAAUGAGAAAUGAAAUUACCUGAAAGUUCAUGAGCCAUCUCCUCAGAAAUAAAAGCACGAAACCCAGUAUACCACGAUGUUGCACUAGAAACAGCGUAUAUUCUCUUUUUCGCUUCCUCUUCACUACAAACAAAAAAGAAAAAUAAAACCCAUUUCUCAAAUUCCCGGAAAUGCCCAAAUUUGAAGGAAUUAACAACCUGCCGACAACAGAAGCGAGGGUUUUAACAUAGAGAUCGAUCUGUUCUUGUAAGGAAGGUUCUUGGUCUUUCGGGAAUCUGAAAGUGAUAACCCAAAGAUCAUCAUCACCACGUCCUCCAACUCUGUGGCUGCUAUUUGAAACGCCAACCCUUGGACUCAAUUGCGGUCUACGAAGGACUUUCCCAUCAACAAACAAAUCCCCUGAGAAAAAAGAUAUUAAAUUUGUUGACAAUGGGAACUUCAAUGGCUAUAAGCAACAAACUUCAUCUUUAAACUACCCACCUCCAAAAUAAUAAUCUUGGCUACCGAUAAACUCAGCUGGUAACACCCACCGUACACGAGGUAACCCUAUAGAAACAUAAUGUCAAUUGUAUGAAAAAGAUUGAUUUUAGAACAAAGUGAACAUUGUGGAUGCCUCAUCAAUUAUAAGUAAAAACAAUUGGGGAAGGGGGGGGACCGUUUAAACCCUAAUAAAUUAGUAUAGAAAGUAAUAACAUUGGGAGGUUUAAAACCCUAAAACAGCUAAGAAAACAUCACACACAAUGAAAGCCAAUGUUAACCCUUACUCUCUCUUUUCUUUCUUUCUUAAAGCCCAUUGUUUCAAAAAAGCACAAUUCUUCUUCCAAUUACACUAAAAAAGGGAAAACCAUGUAAGCCUUAAACCCUAAUAAAUGAGAAAUGAAAUUACCUAUAACGUCAUAAAUCAAAAGCCCUGGGAAAAAAGCACGAAACCCAGUGUACCUCGUUGUACAAACAGAGUAUUUUCUCUUUUUCGCUUCCUCUUCACUACAAGAUCAGAACAAACAAAAAAGAAAAAUAAAAUCCAAUUCUCAAAUUCCCGGCGAAAAGCCCAAAAUUAAUGAAAUCUGAAGGAAUUAUUAUUAUUUAAAAACCUGCCGACUACAGAAGCGAGGGUUUUAACAUAGGCAUCGAUCAUUUCUUCUUCCGAAGGUUUUGGGCGUCGUGAGAAUUCCAGAAUGAUAAGCCAAUGUUCAUAAUCAACGGUUGGUGGUGGGUUACUCCAGUUUGGAGAUGGGUCGUUCAAAGGCGAGUAGCCGGACCCAGAUGUCUUGGUUCGGGUCAGGAUUUUGGUUGCUUCGGGGAUAAAAACUGGGGUUGAGUUGAGGAGAGGAACUGUGAGGCGAGAACAGGAAGGAAAGGAAGAAGAAGAAGUGAGGGCGCGGCUUAAAAGGGUUGAUAGAGAUCUUCGGGCAUUGAGGCAAGCCAUUUUCCGGCAACGCUGGUUCUCUCUGAUAAUAAGCUUUGCUUCUGGGACACUACUAGAUUGAGAUUGUAAUAAAGACCAACGGUUUACCGAUUAAUUGUUUAAAAAAAAAAACGGAAAUUUUGUCUCAUAUCAUAUCAUAUUCUCCUUUUAAUCUAAUUUAUUAGCACAAUAUCAUAUCAUAUCAUAUCUUUUUCUUAAAAUCCCUAAGUCCGAUUCUACCUAGCCUUUUAUUAAUUUUUAUAUAAAAACUGAAUUCCUAAAGCUUUUAAUUAUGAGCUUUCUUAUUUUAAAAGAUCCAAUCUUGAAAACUUAUGUUAGUACAUCACCUCACUUAAUUUCUAAACUUGUAAUACAAAAUAUUUGACAAAUCAAAAAUAAGGAAACUAAACUGCAGUUGGUUAUUAAAUAAAUCAAAAUUGAAAAUUUUCAAUUUAAGGUAGAAUAACACAAAUAAUAUUUGAUAAAUUUAAAUCCUCAUACCCAGUUUAAGACUUUUUACCAGACUAACAUGAACGUAACAAACCAAUAGAUAAAAAUCAAACUUGUUCAUUCAUCUUGACUUUCCUUUCUCAUCAUCUAAACAAAAACACAAGAACGAACCAUAUUGCCAAUUAGAAACCCAAACCCAAUUUUUUUUUUACCUUAAUCACUUAUAUCUUCAACAGGCAAAGCAACAUCCUUGACAUGGGCUUCAGCUACAGAAGCAGAUUCUAUAACAGGGUCAGGCUGCUUUUCAACCUGAGAAUCCGGUUCGGAUGAGUAGAAGUGUAGAACCUGAGUCGACACCGAGUUAAAGCGGCGAGUGGGGAGAACGAGUGAACUGGGUUUUGGCUGGUUUUGGUGUAAGAGUGAAGAAAAUUGUGAGAAGUGAGUGAAAUUCCUAUGGAGAAAACCCUUUUCAUGGCUUCCAAAUAAAAAAAAAAAAAGUUUGUAGUAUCCAAGUGUUUUCCCGUUCUUUGUUUUUCAAUGUUUCUUUGAUUUCAUUUGAGGAGAAAUGCUGGUUAGUUUUGGGUUGUUAUUGUAGGCUUAGAACCCACCAUAGGUUAUUGCUGUUAUAGUGGACCAAUUUCAGGUUAGCAUUGGGUUAGGCCCAGACCAGUUUUCUUCUUCUUUUUCAUUAAUAUAUAUAUUUUUUGUUAAAGUACCUGGGAGGUCCCUGUAUUAUAGGGACUAAAUCAAAUUAGUCCCUCUAUUAUUAAAUGGAUUAAUUUAAUCCCUAUAUUAAAAAGUCUAAAUUUAUAAAAAAUUUAACAUUUACUAUAUACAAAAUAUCUUGAAAUUCAUUUUUUUUCAAUUGGAUUUAAAUUCCAAACAAAAGAUUUUAUUUACAAAAUUAUAAAAACUUUGAAAAUAUUAACUCUAUUAAACAAUAUUAACUUUGAAAGAUACCUUUUAGGUAAUGACGGAAUAAAAGAAAAUCAUUGUAGGUAAUGAUGAAAUAAAAGAAAAUCAUUGGUACAAAAAUAAUAUCCAAAAAAUUGUGCACCUCCAUGGAAAUUAAUUUAUGGGACUUGAAUGUUAAGGGCACUGGGUUGCUUACUUUGUUCACAAAAUCAAGAAGUAAGGCCUGUUGACUGCUCCGGAAGGCAGUAGGCUCGGCCUCGUUAGAGAUUGUAAAUGAGCUAAGUUUGGACAACGGUAAGUUCUGCGCUAAUAGAUGAAUUGUAUUUUGAUCUUUUUAUUAAAAAAUUAAUUUAAUUUAGAUUAAAUAGUAAAUUGUUAAGCAAAUUUUGUACAAGAAUAUGGUAUGAAGAUGAUUUUUUUUAAAUGUGUAAAGAGAAUCUGAUUUUUAAAAAGAAUAAUAAAACAAGUACUAUAUCAUCUUUAAUUUCUAUUCACACCAAAGAAUGAACUCAUUGAGAAUGUACUUGUGACUGUGGUAUGUUAGCUGCAACUUGCAAGUGUUCCUUUUUAAUACUGCACUCUAGGAAUGGAUGCUUCUCUAUCAUAAAAUUCUAGUCUUGAGCACAGAUAAACUUGGGGUUCUCAUUUCUUCAGUUUCUCCCAAGCCUGGAAUUGUAGUUUCGAGGGCUUUGUGUUUGUACAACCAAUCCCGGACCUCUUAGGCUGCUCUUGGAGCCCACUUGCAUGUGGAUCCUCUUUUAGAGUUAACCCUUUGAAGAAUCAAUUCAUCAGGAAGGGCCUGCCACCUCAUUAUCUGCAUGAUUUUCAUACCAAUCCAGUUCUGAAGUAACGGUUUCCUCAUCUAUUGCACAAACAUCCACUAAAGAUGAAUCCAUCGGAUUCUCAUUGUUACAACUAGGCACAACAGCUACAUUGUUUUUAGCUAAGGCAGUGGAACCUCCUUGACACGGUUUCAUAUUCCCCAUGAAUCAACUACUGUAUUUGAUCGAUCGAGUCUUUGACACUGAUCUAGUCAGCCUCGAAGUUAAAGUCAUCUUCAGACGAGUUACAUCUAAGAUGGUUACUGCUUCUUUGCUUGUCAGCCAAAUUUCCUUCCUCAUCCACCGGAGUCAUCUGAAUGUAGCGAAAACAAGCAUUAUCAGCAACAAUACUCAGCACAUCUUUUCAUUUGCAAAAAGAAUAGUACCUUUUUUUUUAACCUUGACGUUGUUAAGAUCUACGCUGUUCUCCUUAGAAAUGAAAUGAAGUCCUUAAAAUUUUAUUCUAAAAAUUAAACAUUUUUAUUCAGGAUUGAAUAAAAUUUUAGACCAUUUUUCGGAUCAAGUCAAGUUUAACAGACGAGUCUAAAAUUUUAGUUGAGUUGAAUCCAAAUUCUACCUGACCUAAUUAUGGACAGGUCUAGUUAAACAUAUUAAAAACUUGUCAAUUUUAUAAAAAAAUAUUUUUUAAUAUUUUUAAUUGUUAAAAAAUUAGUUUUUUUUUAAAGAUGAUUUGAUUAAAAAGAUUGAAAUGAAAAACUAAAAUAAUUAUUUUAAAGUUGAAAAGUGAAAUAAGUAAUUAUGUUAAUAUAAUAAUAUAAAUGCAUAGUACACAAUAAAAAUGUAAGCAGUAGAAAGUUAACAGGUGAUAAUGUGAGAAACUAGUAGAGUCUAGUGUAGUGGGACAGUAAGGAGUAGGGACUAGCUCUAUAGCUGGCUCUGCACUACCUUACCUUUGUUUGCUACCAAAUGCUUCCUAUCCCAUGGAGUUGAAAAUAAAGUAAAUAAAUAUGUCAUUGUUAUUUGGAUCAAUGGUUUUCUUUUUUUUUGAGAAAAUUCAACUAGAUUUAUAAAAUAAGAAAACAAAACAAAAUUUUGCUUGUCACUUGGCCUAAAACUCAAAACAAACAAGCCCUAACGCCACACAAAUAAAUCAAAUAAAAGGAAAACAGACCCAAAAGCAGUAAAAGGACCACGGGCCACUAAAAUAACUAACAAAAUAAAAUAAAACAGGAAACUUAAACUUUAAAAUAUCUUCAGUAGACAGAAACAGCUGGACCACUUUAAUAACAUUUCUCUUUUCUCUGAAUCGUCACUGCCAUUAAAAGCAGAGCUAUUUAUAUCUGCAGAAAAGACUCUGGCUCCCACCUUGGGAGCUGCUGUCAGAUAUCUAGAUCGUAUGCUAAGGUUUGAUCCAUUCCAUAGUAGAAAGGUAAAGAGAUAGGAGAGUGAGGCUAGCUUUGGGCAUCCCCUAAGCCCUGAUGUGCCUACAACGACACUUUUAGACCUUUGUUGAUGUACAUUAAUUGUUUUUCCAGCUGGUGGAGCUAAGACAAUAGGCCUUUAGAAAGCAGAGCUAUUACCACUGCCUACCCAAAAGAGCACGAAGGUAAAUAACCCACACCUUCCUUCAAUGCUUCCUCUUCUAUAACAUGCGCAAGUAUUUGGAUCAAUGGUUUAAUAUUCUCUACUUGUGUUAUUUUUUUGUUGUGUUGAAAUUUUUUAAAAAAUGGAAAUAUUGUAGUACAUGAAUUGCAUUUUAAUUAUAAAUAUAUAUACUCCAGUGCUAUGAAGCAUGGACACGGACAUGCAAUACGGAUACGACACGAUAUGAAUACGGUGAUACAGUAAUUUUUAAAAAAUAAGGACACGAAUAUGGAAGGAUACGACAAUAAAAAAAUAUUUUAUAAUUUUUAUAUAUUUUUAUAUUAAAAUACUCAAAUGUAAAUGAAAAUAUUGAUAUUUUUGCUAUUUUUAAACUACUAUAAUUUGUUUUUGAUUUUCUUACCCUAUUAUAAUUAUAUAAUAUAUUAACUACUUUUGUUUCUUUCUUACGCAAACAGCCCUUUUUUUUUCCCAUUUACCCUUUUUUUCCCUCCUCAUCUACUACAGACAGCUUUACACUCAUAUACCCUUUAUUUUCUUCCCCAUUUACUCCUUUUUCUUCCCUCCUCAUUUACUACUUUUACCUUUGCCUUUGUAUUUCUUCUCUGCAAAACAUUCAUCUACAAAACUUUCAGCAUCAUCAUCUUCACUUCAUAUAAGCGAACAGACUCCAAAGAAGGCAAGUGUGUCAAAAAUCCCAUAAAUUAUCAUGAUUAAAUGUUAAAUUUAUGCUUUUUAUCUGUUUUCUAAAGUUCUAUUAUUGUAUAUGGGUUUUUUCCCCUUUCUGAUUCAGGCCAAAAGAAAGUCUGGUAGUGUGCCUUUUUUGACACGUGUCGAGGUGUGUCCAGUAUGUAUCUGGCUGUGUCGGCGGUGUGUCCGUGUCGGACACCAGUACGACACUGGUACGAGGGGAUUUUCCCCGUGUCGGUGCUUCAUAGAUCCGGUGGGAUGCUCCAAUGGGGUUGACGCAGGCAGGUUAGGUUUUCGGGCCGACACAUGUAGGAGAGAGGGUCAAGAGGUUUUAAAGGAGAAGAUGAAGAGAAGGAAAAUGAGGAAGAUAAGGAAGAAGAUGAUAAAGAAGUCUAAGUGCAGCGUGUUCUUAAGGAACAGGGGGAAAGUGGAUGCAAAGAUGUUACAGACAUUAGAUGAACAGUACGCCCUGUGAUUGCAGUGCAAAAGAAUCAAUGGAGUUUUGAGGGUAAUGGGGUUUUUUCUCUACUUCUCUUGCAAUGGCUAAGCUAUUUCUUUCUUUUUCUCUCUCUAUAUUUUAACAAUAUUCCAACACAAGCUUUUGAUGUUUUUGAAAAUUUCGAAACCAAUUUCAAAAGGAGUUGUUUGAAAAACAGGGAUCGACUUUUGAAAAAUGAAAACGAGAGUCGUCACUAAUCUUUUAAAGUGUGAUUGGAUCACUAUAUAAAACGUUUUGGUCUACGAAAUUGUGAGAAAACAGGUUCGGGAGUUAAUUACGUUCGAGGAAGGAUUAGCACCAUCGUAACGUUUAAAAUUGGCACCAAAUUGGAUAAAUAUUUAUCUCAAUGCCAAAAUUUUGAGAAUAUUAAAAAAAAUGCGAUAUUAAAAAAAAUGCGAUUUUCUUAUUUUCGUAAUAAUUCAAAUUAAGAGAAUCGAGAUUCAUUCGCUUUGAAGGAAUAAUAAAUAUCACAUUCAGCAUAAUUGGACACAAUACUUUUAAACUUUCGUCCCAUGAUUUAUAAAACCUGCUUAAAAAUGAUAUUUUAGAUAUUUAGAUAAAUGGAAAAUUGCAACUCAGCAUAUUAGGGUACUAUUUCUCAAAUUUCAAAACAUCUAAAACAUUGUCUCGUUCAUUUUCUAAAAGUUUUUUUUAAUGACUUUUGGUUUUGAAAGUAAUGAUAUGUUUCACAUAUUAUAAGAAAUUAAAUACAAUAUAUAUAUAUGCUUUAUCAUUUCAUGCAAAUAUAAUAAAGGUGACGAACAAGGAUUUAAAUUAUCUAAUAUGUUAUUAUUUCAUGCAUGGUCAUAAAUAGUAUCAUUACAUACACAAUACAACAUAGAAUAUAAUGAAUUCAAUAAUAUAAAUUGUAUAAUGCAUACAUAACAACAUUUUAUGCAAAUAAAUAUCUAAAUUAUAAUAAUUAACUCAUUUUAUAUAAAUAUAAAAAAUAAGAAUAAAAUGAUAUAUGAAAUUUAACCCAUUGUACAAUAUCAAAAUAAAGGAGAAUCUAAAAUAAAUAAACGAAUUAGUGUAUGAAAUAUAAAAGUAAGCUAUUUUAGAAAUAUAUUAAAUGAUGUGAGAACAAUAAAAAGAAAUUCCCUUUUUUUAGAAAUAUAUACAUAUACAGAUUAUAUUAUAAUGUAUAAUAACUUAGUAUAUAAUAAAAAUAGUGUACUAGAUGUUAUUCUUUAAAAAUGUAUAUAAUUAAUAAGUAAUAAUGUAUGCUUUAGGAUAAAAUAAAGGUAAUAAGGAAAUAUAGUAAAAUAUAAUAUAAUUUACAAAUAAAAAUAUGUAAUAAUAUAAAUAAUAUAGUAAUAAAAUAUAUAAUAUAAUAUAAGAAGAAUAUAUAAAAUAAUAAUAAUCUAAUAGGUAUUUCAUAUAAAAAUAUAGUAAAAUAAUUGAUACAUAUAGAAAAUACAUAGUAUUUACUAACUUUAUAAAUAAAAUAUAUAAUAAAAUGAAUAAUAUAAUAUAUAAUAUAUAAAAAUAAUAUGUACUAAAAACAUAUAAUAUAGAUAUAAAUAAUAUAUAUAAAAUAUAUGAUAAAAAUUAAAAAUAUAUAAUAAUAUAAUAGAUAAAAUAUAGUAAAAUAAAUAAUAUAUAUAAUGAAAAUACAUAUAACAUAUUGUAAAAUGCAAAUAUAACAAAAUAAAAUAUAUAUAAAAAAAUAUAUGAUAAACAAAUCCUUUUUUAAAAAAAAAUAACAAUAUAUUGGACAAUAAUAUAUACUAUUUUAAUAUUAAAAAUAAAAAUUGAAUUGAAAAUUCCGGGGUUAAUUGUAAAAUAAUAAAAACAUUUGGACUUAAUUAAAACACAAGCUAAAAUAGAGGGACUCAUUGAGUAAUUAAACCCUAAUUCCAAAACGAUGACGUUAUCUGGAACUGAUUUUUAAAAGGGCACUAGGAUUAAAUUGAAAUGAAUAUAAAAGAUUGGGGCUAAAUUAAAAUAAAAAUAAAAUGAAAUUAAAAUUUGAAAACACGGAAGGGUCAAUAGGGCAAUUUGCCCAUUUUUCCAGAACGCGAGGAUCCUACCCAGGUUUUCGGGUCAACGCGCGGAUCCUGUGCCUAGAAACGACGUCGUUUUGUGCUUAUUGGAUUAAACCAAAACGGCGCCAUUUCAUUUAUGCUAUAUAGGCCAAACUUAUAGUUCUAAAAUCAUUUUGCCCCAGCUCUGAGAAAAAAAGAAAAAAAAAAUCCUCUGAAUGAGGAUCUGGGACCAGCAUUAGAUCUCCGUCAAGCCUCCGUUCUCAGGCGGUCACGCGCCCACGCGCCACUACGAACGCUGCCACGUAUGACGGCCGGAAACUGGAAAGUUUCCUUUCUUCGACGCGAAUAAAAAAAAAGGUAUAUUCCUCCUUUUCUUUUACUAUUUUCCAUAUAUAUAUAUAUGUACAUAUAUUUAAAAAAAAAAUCACCUUUAUGUAUUUCAAUCGACUGUGGUGCCAUAUUCAGUAUAUAUGCGCAAAAAAAAAAAAAACCUUUUCUUUGAAUCUGUAUCUUCUGGUUUUUUAUUCUCUAUGUGUAUUUUUCUAUGGAAAAUCAUGUGUUACAAAUCAGAAAAAGAUGGGUUUUUAUAACCCUUUGUAAGUGAUUUACAAUCUGGGAAAGAAAUCUUUUGAUUUCAUUCUAUAUUUUGCCUCUGUUUUUUAUUGUGGUUUUUUCAUUUUGCAGAUGUCUCGCGAGAAAUCCGGUGAUGGAAGGGUCGCUAGCGUUGAUGGAGGCCUGAAGUCUGGUGGUGGUGUCGGUGAGGUACUGAUUAAGGAGGUAGAGCCUUGAGUGAUGGCCUCGAUUGGGGAGCUGGACAGACGCUCCCCGAACCUUCCAAAACUUGUUACGGCGCGAGGGGAAAGAGAGGCAGAAACCCUAGGGUUUCAUGCCUCGGUGUAAUGGUUUGGGCCACUGUUGUUUGGGUUUAAUUUAGGUCUGCUGAGUAGUAACCGGGUAAAUGGGUUUUGGGCUAAUUGGGUUACAGGUGUAACGGGCUUUGGGCUUAUCAGGCUUUGAGCCCUGUUUAUUUGUAAAUGGACAUUUUAAAUAAACACUUAUUUAUUUAAUUCUUUUAUUCUAUUUUCAGCCCGGUCAAAUUUGGGCUAUUACAGAAAAUUUAAAAGAGAUUUGUAGAAACUCAUAUCUUAACCUCAAAACUUUUGCAUUUAAUGAUAAACUAACAAACCAUGUUAGGAAACACCA
Molecule: long non-coding RNA, 33207 nt
Filed under: Gossypium barbadense (sea-island cotton)
Lineage: Eukaryota; Viridiplantae; Streptophyta; Magnoliopsida; Malvales; Malvaceae
Description: long non-coding RNA (GBAR_LNC013053)
Source: RNAcentral